This is a long non-coding RNA of Astyanax mexicanus (Mexican tetra), 791 nucleotides long. RefSeq lists it as uncharacterized. Lineage: Eukaryota; Metazoa; Chordata; Actinopteri; Characiformes; Acestrorhamphidae. The record is from RefSeq and is a predicted model, not a curated record. The transcript is spliced from 3 exons.
AAAAAAUGAUUUUGGAGGGUGGUAUAUAUAACCCAUUCAUAUUGUUUAAAAAAUACCCAAAUGUAUUAGUCAGCUAGAAAAAUAAAUUACAAUGGGUAAAUUCUACCUACACUACCCAUUUUUUAACAGUGACAACUGCUACCUAAAAAUAUAUAGUAACAUAUACUUAAAAACUAUUGGUCCCUCACGCACUUGUCGAGGGUUUUGAGUGCUGCUGCUCGUCUGUUGUUGAGCUGCUGUUUUGAAGGUUAAAGAGGAGUUCCAGCACAGCUUGACUGGUACACACCACAUCUUUUACAGCUGUUGCGUGCCAAAGGAGGAGCUGCUGGUGCUAGGAUGCAUCCACUCCUUAACACUGUAAAUGAGGACGGACGUGAAGACUACACAGAUCAAACCAUGAAGGUGCUCGUGAUCCAUAAUGUCAUCGCUGAAGAUGACCCAGUAGAUGUGUCUGUUGUCAUAGAGGACAUCCAAGUGCUGAAAGGGUGUGUAAACAAGACCAAGGCAUGUAUGCUGUUGGCUUGAUCUACGCCCUCAACCUUCAAGAAGCUCAAGUACACUUGCAAAGUUUUCCAGAAAAUUGUUGUGGAGCUUCCUGGAGCAAAACUGCCCAAGUAGGUCCACAGCCUCAGAAGGAACGAAUGGAAUGAACUGUUUUACCCACAUUGAGUCACAAACUUUUAUACACCUUUAUUCCGCUUCUAUAACUUGCAUUAUUAUUCAUGUUAUAUUUUGAAUGUAAUCUGUUGUUAUGACCUAUUGGGGUUAAUAAAUGUUUUAAAAACUUAAAA